GGCCCCAGUGAUCUUCACUCCACAGCUCAUAGUAAAGUGUGUUCCCCAGUUUGAGACCAGCCUCAAGCAACGUUUAUACUUUUGCGCGUCUUAAGUAAACUGCUCGGGCUGGUAGCAGGGAGGCACAGGUAGAUAGGAUGACGGACCCCUCAUUGUUAGUAGCAAGCAGACCGUCAGCAGAACAGCGAAGAGGAGAACCCCGCAUA
Long non-coding RNA from Hyposmocoma kahamanoa, 206 nucleotides. RefSeq lists it as uncharacterized. The record is from RefSeq and is a predicted model, not a curated record. The transcript has 3 exons. Lineage: Eukaryota; Metazoa; Arthropoda; Insecta; Lepidoptera; Cosmopterigidae.